CUACGGGGGGCUGCAGUGGGGAAUCUUGGACAAUGGGGGCAACCCUGAUCCAGCGAUGCCGCGUGUGUGAAGAAGGCCUUCGGGUUGUAAAGCACUUUUAGUUGGGAAGAAGGUACGCUUUAGGCGUGCUUGACGGUACCGACAGAAAAAGCACCGGCUAACUCUGUGCCAGCAGCCGCGGUAAUACAGAGGGUGCGAGCGUUAAUCGGAUUGACUGGGCGUAAAGGGCGCGUAGGCGGCGUAUUAAGUUAGAUGUAAAAGGCUCGGGCUUAACCUGAGUAGGUCAUCUAAUACUGAUAGGCUUGAGUACAGUAGAGGGGAGUGGAAUUUCCGGUGUAGCGGUGAAAUGCGUAGAGAUCGGAAGGAACAUCAGUGGCGAAGGCGGCUCUCUGGACUGUAACUGACGCUGAGGCGCGAAAGCGUGGGGAGCAAACAGGAUUAGAUACCCCUGUAGUC
Molecule: ribosomal RNA, 456 nt
Filed under: uncultured bacterium
Lineage: Bacteria
Description: partial 16S ribosomal RNA
Rfam family: Bacterial small subunit ribosomal RNA
Source: RNAcentral